Molecule: ribosomal RNA, 330 nt
Filed under: uncultured bacterium
Lineage: Bacteria
Description: partial 16S ribosomal RNA
Rfam family: Bacterial small subunit ribosomal RNA
Source: RNAcentral
UAGGGAAUCUUCCACAAUGGACGCAAGUCUGAUGGAGCAACGCCGCGUGAGUGAAGAAGGUCUUCGGAUCGUAAAGCUCUGUUGUUGGUGAAGAAGGAUAGAGGCAGUAACUGGUCUUUAUUUGACGGUAAUCAACCAGAAAGUCACGGCUAACUACGUGCCAGCAGCCGCGGUAAUACGUAGGUGGCAAGCGUUGUCCGGAUUUAUUGGGCGUAAAGCGAGCGCAGGCGGAAUGAUAAGUCUGAUGUGAAAGCCCACGGCUCAACCGUGGAACUGCAUCGGAAACUGUCAUUCUUGAGUGCAGAAGAGGAGAGUGGAACUCCAUGUAGU